UCAUCAGUGAGGUUACUCUUUGCCUGUUUCUUCUUUAGGAAAAAAUGGAACAUGAUGUUUUGGGCUAAUGAGGUUGUGAUUAAAUUACUCUGGUUUGUAGAGUGCAGCAAACUCUACACUAAUCUUACCUGAU
Protopterus annectens (West African lungfish) is the source of this 133-nucleotide small nucleolar RNA. RefSeq annotates it as U8 small nucleolar RNA. Lineage: Eukaryota; Metazoa; Chordata; Ceratodontiformes; Protopteridae. The transcript has a single exon. The record is from RefSeq and is a predicted model, not a curated record.